UCGAGAAUUUUUCUCAAUGGGCGAAAGCCUGAAGGAGCGACGCCGCGUGGAGGAUGAAGGCCUUCGGGUUGUAAACUCCUGUCAUUUGGGAACAAAAUACCGGUUUAACUGACCGGGACUUGAUAGUACCAGAAGAGGAAGAGACGGCUAACUCUGUGCCAGCAGCCGCGGUAAUACAGAGGUCUCAACCGUUGUUCGGAUUCAUUGGGCGUAAAGGGUGCGUAGGCGGUCGCGCAAGUCGGAUGUGAAAUCUCAGGGCUCAACCCUGAAACUGCAUUCGAUACUGCGUGGCUAGAGUGCUGGAGAGGAGACUGGAAUUUACGGUGUAGCAGUGAAAUGCGUAGAUAUCGUAAGGAAGACCAGUGGCGAAGGCGAGUCUCUGGACAGCAACUGACGCUGAGGCACGAAGGCCAGGGGAGCAAACG
Molecule: ribosomal RNA, 425 nt
Filed under: uncultured Chthoniobacter sp.
Lineage: Bacteria; Pseudomonadati; Verrucomicrobiota; Spartobacteria; Chthoniobacterales; Chthoniobacteraceae
Description: bacterial SSU rRNA
Rfam family: Bacterial small subunit ribosomal RNA
Source: RNAcentral